Molecule: non-coding RNA, 75 nt
Organism: Myotis brandtii (Brandt's bat)
Lineage: Eukaryota; Metazoa; Chordata; Mammalia; Chiroptera; Vespertilionidae
Source: Rfam
GAGACACCCUUAUGGGGCAGGACUUGCUUCAGUGGGGCUUUGGUGCUCACUGAGUCUGCCCCUUGAGGUGUCACU